AGUCUCUGAUUCAGUGUCUAUCCUCUCAACCUCCAUGAGAACCACCGGGGUUCCAAUUAUUAGGUGUAUUCUUGUUUGCUUCCCUGACCUGCAGGUCUGGGAGGGAGUUGUAAAACCCCAGACUAGUUUGAAGAAAGACCUUCCCUGCUUGCCUGCCGAUGAUGUCAGAACCCAAACAGGGGUGUCUGCAUCCUUGGAGAAAGGGUAUCCCAAAUCAUGGAGGUAACUCAGAAGACACUGUGUGGGACCAGCCGCUUAGGGUGCAGACAGAGACAGCUGACAAGCCCUUCAGACAAACCCUUUACCUGAGAGUCUCACAGUGAAGGCAACCCCUAACAAUCAUCAAUGGCUGAAUGGACAAGUAGGAAAGCUUACUCUGUCAUGAAAAGGAACAGAGCACCAACAUGCUCCGCAACAUAGAUCAGCUUCAAGAACAUGGAUGCAGGAAGCCAGAC
This 455-nucleotide long non-coding RNA is filed under the name Mus musculus (house mouse). Its description in RNAcentral is "predicted gene, 50026". The record is from RNAcentral. Lineage: Eukaryota; Metazoa; Chordata; Mammalia; Rodentia; Muridae.